AGUGAACGCUGGCGGCAGGCCUAACACAUGCAAGUCGAACGGCAGCACAGUAAGAGCUUGCUCUUACGGGUGGCGAGUGGCGGACGGGUGAGGAAUACAUCGGACUCUACUUUUUCGUGGGGGAUAAAGUAGGGAAACUUACGCUAAUACCGCAUACGACCUACGGGUGAAAGCAGGGGAUCUUCGGACCUUGCGCGAGUGAAUGCGCCGAUGUCGGAUUAGCUAGUUGGCGGGGUAAAGGCCCACCAAGGCGACGAUCCGUAGCUGGUCUGAGAGGAUGAUCAGCCACACUGGAACUGAGACACGGUCCAGACUCCUACGGGAGGCAGCAGUGGGGAAUAUUGGACAAUGGGCGCAAGCCUGAUCCAGCCAUACCGCGUGGGUGAAGAAGGCCUUCGGGUUGUAAAGCCCUUUUGUUGGGAAAGAAAAGCAGCAGGUUAAUACCCUGCUGUUUUGACGGUACCCAAAGAAUAAGCACCGGCUAACUUCGUG
This 492-nucleotide ribosomal RNA is filed under the name uncultured bacterium. Its description in RNAcentral is "partial 16S ribosomal RNA". It matches the Rfam family "Bacterial small subunit ribosomal RNA", at positions 29 to 507 of the family's 1533-position model. The record is from RNAcentral.